RNAcentral lists this ribosomal RNA (381 nucleotides) under uncultured Anoxybacillus sp. Its description in RNAcentral is "bacterial SSU rRNA". It matches the Rfam family "Bacterial small subunit ribosomal RNA", at positions 1003 to 1382 of the family's 1533-position model. Lineage: Bacteria; Bacillati; Bacillota; Bacilli; Caryophanales; Anoxybacillaceae. The record is from RNAcentral.
GAUCGGGCGGUUCCCCCUUCGGGGGGACAGGGUGACAGGUGGUGCAUGGUUGUCGUCAGCUCGUGUCGUGAGAUGUUGGGUUAAGUCCCGCAACGAGCGCAACCCUCGACCUUAGUUGCCAGCAUUCAGUUGGGCACUCUAAGGUGACUGCCGGCUAAAAGUCGGAGGAAGGUGGGGAUGACGUCAAAUCAUCAUGCCCCUUAUGACCUGGGCUACACACGUGCUACAAUGGGCGGUACAAAGGGUCGCGAACCCGCGAGGGGGAGCCAAUCCCAAAAAGCCGCUCUCAGUUCGGAUUGCAGGCUGCAACUCGCCUGCAUGAAGCCGGAAUCGCUAGUAAUCGCGGAUCAGCAUGCCGCGGUGAAUACGUUCCCGGGCCUU